Molecule: non-coding RNA, 329 nt
Organism: Cinara cedri
Lineage: Eukaryota; Metazoa; Arthropoda; Insecta; Hemiptera; Aphididae
Source: the annotation of a GenBank genome assembly
GUUGCAUUGUAUUAUUUACAAAUUAUGCUGUAGUUAAUAUUAGAAUUCUUAAAAAAAAAAAUCACAAGGUACGACUUAAAUAAACCUUCUGUAAAACCGGCAUUUCUGUUUGGUCUAACAAUUUUAUCCACAGAGUACCUAUACUGAACAAAAAUUACGCACCCCUCCCCCUCUCUGUAAAAUUAAAAGGUUUAUAAUAGUUAAAAAAAAAAGCUAUUAUUACAUUUCAAUAAAUGCAUUUCAUACAUUUUUCCGUUUUCCCAUUUAUUAGGAAAACUACUGAAAAAUCAAAAACAACCUGUCUAAAGUACCACAUAAGUCAGAUUUCC